RNAcentral lists this ribosomal RNA (3189 nucleotides) under Pertusaria propinqua. Its description in RNAcentral is "LSU rRNA". It matches the Rfam family "Bacterial large subunit ribosomal RNA". Lineage: Eukaryota; Fungi; Ascomycota; Lecanoromycetes; Pertusariales; Pertusariaceae. The record is from RNAcentral.
AAUGACGGCAAGUAUACAAAGAAAUUAUUAUGAAAUCACAGCUAUUUAUCAAAGGGAAUAAUUUAGUGAUAACUAUUUAUCAAAGUGAAUAACUUAGUUAUAUCCUAUAAACUCUAAGAGAAAUUAAUUAAUAAACGAAGUGAAUUGAAAUAUCUUAUUAACUUCAGGAAAAGAAAUCAAAUGAGAUUCUACGAUUAGUGUGAAUGAAAGUAGAUAAACAAGCCUAAUCUAUAUUUAUUUAUUUAUGCAAAAUUAAAUGCACGGCAUGAGUAUAUAAAACAAUAAGUAAGUAAAAUGGAGUACAUACCUAUUUGAACAUAAGGGGAACCUUCCUCUAAGGCUAAAUAUGAUAAAUAAGCGAUAGCGAACGUAAAAAGUACCGUGAGGGAAAUUGAUUGAAAUAGUAAUUUUAUAAGCAGCUCAUAUAAAGUUUAAAUAAAAUAUAGAGCGUACCUUUUGCAUAAUGGGUCAGCAAGUUAAUAUUGGAUGCAAGCGUAGAAAAUAAUUCUUAUACGGAUAUGCGAAAAAUUAUUUUUAGGCGCUGAAUCCCUAAAAAUACUUUUUUUUUAUAUGCGAAUAAUAAUUCCUAGUAUCUGCGAAGAUAAAGCAGUUAUAAUAUAAUGAUUAGUAUCCAAAAUUAGACCCGAAGCCUAGUGAUCUUACCAUGAUCAGGGUUAUAAAAGCCCGAAUGGGUUAUCGUUGUAAAGAUAUCCAAAGAAUUGUGGUAAGUUAGUGAAAGACAAAACUGACUAGGAUAGCUGGUUUUCUGCGAAACCUAUAUAAGUAGGUAAUUUAAAUUACAUCAUAGCAGGUACAGAACUGUGAUCUCAAAGAACUUGCAUAUUAUUAUUAUAAAUAAUUUAUAAAACAUUUUUUGUUUCUUUAAUAAUGUGACAUUUUACCCAUUGGGGGGGUGUUAAAACCCUAUUCGUGAGUAUUUGCACUCGAAAGGGCUAUGAUUGUGGUGAAUAAUCAGACAUAGUACGAUAAGGUUGUAUGUCUAAAGGGAAACAGCCCAGAACAAGAGUUAAUAAGGUUCCAAAAUUAUUGUUAAGUGAAAAAAAGGUAGUGUUUAUCUUAUUCGACUAGGAAAUAGGCUUGGAAGCGGCCAUUUUUUGAAGAUCUCGUAAAAGAGCACUAGUUUGUUAAAUGGAUAAUUGCAUCAAAAAUUUAACGGAUCUAAACAAUAUACCGAUACCUUGUACAUAAAUAGUUAUAUAUCUUAGUUAUAUAUAUUAUAUAUGGGGUAGCAGAACGUUGGGCAAAUAUUAGAUUAUUUCUUAUUAAGAACUAAAAUUAUAUUACCCUAGUGAUAAUGCUGACAUGAGUAACGAUAAAGGGAAUAUUCCCUCGCCUAAAGCUUAUGGUAUUCUAUUAAAGUAACGGCCUCUAAGUUUAUUAUACUUUUUCUUAAGAUAAACAGAAACAGUUGCAUAUAUUUGGCGCAAUCCCAAAUAGAUUUUAUAUUUUAGAUGUCUGGCUCAAUCCCAGAUAGACUUUAUAUUUUAAGGGUAACAACUCCUAAAGGAUUAAACGAUGAGAAAAUCUUUAUGUUUAUAUAAAUAACCUUAAGUAUUAAAAAAAAAAAUAUGAUAAAUUAUAUAAAUUAAUAAAUUGAACCAGAUGGUGUAAAUUUUAUGUACUUUAGAUAUAAUAAGAGAGAUUAUAUUAUAAAACCUUUAUUGUGCAUGUUUUUCUAUUUAUGUAUAAAAUUUUUUUUUUAUAAGUGACGAAGGUUCUGGAAAAUAUUAUAUUCAGUAACCGUACCUAGAUACUACCCCAAGUAAGUUAGUAGAGAAUACGAAGGCGUUUGAGUGAACAAUCAUUAAGGAACUCGGCAAAUUGGCUCACGUAAUUUCGAGAUAAGGAGCGCCACUACUCUUGAUUAAUAUCAGGUAAAGAGGAGGAGGCAUAGAAUGGUGUUGUACGACUGUUUAAUUAAAACAAAGCACGCUGCGAAGAUAUAAAUCAAUGUAUUGAGUGUGAGCUCUGCCCGAUGCGGGCUGGUUAUCGGAUUUGCUUAGUUGACUUAUAUAAGCUAGGCUUUGAAGGAACCCCCUGUUAAUGGCGGCCUUAGCUAUAAGGGUCCUAAGGUAGCGGAAUACCCUGGCCGUUAAAUGCGGUCUUGCAUGAAUGACAUAACGAUACAACAGCUGUCUCAAUGAUUGGCUCAGUGAAAUUGGAAUAACUGUGCAGAUACAGUUUACCUCUAGAUAGACGAGAAGACCCUAUGCAGCUUUACUGUUGCUAGUUAUUGGGUAUGAUAUAAUAAUUCUUUUUAGCGAAUAAGGUAAUUGAUCAGAUUUAAUUGAAACACCUUUACUUAUUUAUCAUAUUAGAUCACCGGUUAUACAUGGUACAGGAAAACAUAUUGUGUAUAAUGUCAUGUGUUGAUCUCUAACCACAAAAAAAAUUUUUAUUUUUUAUAACAUGGAAAAUAAGAUAGGUGGAACAAUUGCUAGGUGGCGGUUUAUGCGGGGCACAGAUCCCAUAAAAAGUACCUGGGAAGUUUAACGGCAAAAUCUUGCUUUACUGAUUGACUCACACGUCUUUCAGUCGCGUAAGCGGGGCAUAUGAUCACAAGACGCUGAAUGGAAAGGUUUUGGAUUUUUGAAAAAGCUACGCUAGGGAUAACAGGCUAAUUGCGCAAGAGAGUUCAAAUUGAGUGCGCAGUUUGGCACCUCGAUGUCGGCUUAGCUUAUCCACAUGAAUGUAGGAAUCAUGAAGGGUUGGACUGUUCGUCCAUUAAAAAGCUACACGAGCUGGGUUAAAUACGUCGUGAGACAGUAUGGUUUCUAUCUUCUAGAGGAAAUUAGAGUAAAAUAAGAAUAGCCCCUUCGUACGAAAGGAGUUGGGUAUGUUAACCUAUGGUUUACCUGUUGUUUGUGUACCUAAUAUUAAUGCAAAAAGUAAAGUUUUUGUAUAGCUACAUUUUAUUUGUUUGCAAAGGUAGUUACUAUUCACUAUAGUAAAAUUUAGCACAGGCACGGCAGGAAAGCUAAGUUAAUUAAUGAUAAGUACUGAAAGCAUAUAGGUACGAAACUUAAUUUAAGAUACUCUUAUAUAAACGUAAUUUAACAUUACGAAUUUACAUUUAAGUUAACUUAUUUGUAUAUUAGGUUAAAUAUUAAUAGGCUUUAGUUGGAAGACUUUUAAUUUUUUGAGGCAUAAAGUACUAAUUUUUAUUUU